GACUGAUCAAGCGUUCCACCUGUGUUUGGAGUGGGCCACGCCAGCCGCCAUCGUCUUUCGACGCUGCGCGGUCGUCUAUCCGUCCACCACGCUCGCUGGCGUACGCUCCAUUGUACAUAGACAGACAGUCUGCGCCCUCCUUCCUGUCUUAUAGCCCUUUGUGUCGUACCCGCCGCCGCUUGGAGGGUUUUCGCCUCCGUCAAAUGCGAAUCCGCCAGUCCCUGUGCAUUAACCGAACCCUCAAUACCCACAGUAUGGCACAGCCGCCCCGGCCCCCACGGCGCUCCCGUACCUCCACCUCAGCCGUACGGAAUACUUCCGCAGCCGUACGGCUCUCCAAGUGCCUAUGGCGGUCCUACGGACCGCCUCCCCCGCCGCCACAGCCGCAAGUGAUUUACAUUCAACAGCCGGCACCUCCACCACCUCUGCCGCAGACCAUCAUCGUGCAAGGCGGCGGCUGUCAGGGUAAGGAGUACUAAUGUCGCCGAUGUCGGCGCUACCACCGCCACAGGCACGAUUGGCCUUACGGGCUGAUGGGGUGUGGAGCGUUGUAGAUAACGUGGCGUGAGUGGAUAGAGCAUGGGUUCACGGAGCCGCAAGCCUCCCUCUCUCUGGCAUUCUCUGGUGCGGCGAGAGCCCCUCGUUGUCGCGUCUUUGUCGGUCGCCUCCAUUGCACGUUGUGCGUUUCUUGCGGGCGUGUCUCCUCUUGUGAGCCCCGGUGGAAGGGCCCAGUGCUACGUACAGAUGCCGCUCGCCACCGCAGGCUUUAGGAUUGUGUCGUAUGCGUGUCGUGUUCCUUCCGCCUUCGCAGUGUCAUGGUCAAAUACAUGAGAGCUCCGUCUUCGGCGUAUUUACUCAGCUUUUUUUUUCGAGUUUCCUUCGAUGCAGGUGAACCGUUGAAAGCAAGGAGACGCAGUCCGACCGCGACGGCGCUAACCUUCGAUGAUGCGCAAGGAAGGCGCCGGCGUUGCUGGCGUCUCUGGUGGGUAGGAAGCAAUUUUUUCUUUGGAAGCGGUAGAACGAACAACAUGACGCCAACGCUCAAGUACCUGCGCGAGCAAUCUGAGCCUUUUUCCCACCUCAUACGCACACGCAUGCGCUGCUGGGUCGCACACGUCUCCCGCGGCUGCUGAUUAUGGACUAGCUGUUCUUCCCUUCCCUACUGCAGAGACUUUAGCUCGACUGCGACGCUCGUAGCGUACACAAGCCUGCCGCUCUUGCGUGCUUCUGUAUACGUCGACCGCCACUGCGGCAGCUCGCCGCAAUCCGACCUUCGCCUCUCCGCCAAAAUACGUUCUCGUUGCCAG
RNAcentral lists this unclassified non-coding RNA (1307 nucleotides) under Leishmania donovani. RNAcentral's name for it is "gene:unknown". The record is from RNAcentral. Lineage: Eukaryota; Euglenozoa; Kinetoplastea; Trypanosomatida; Trypanosomatidae.